Molecule: small nuclear RNA, 105 nt
Organism: Psammomys obesus (fat sand rat)
Lineage: Eukaryota; Metazoa; Chordata; Mammalia; Rodentia; Muridae
Source: RefSeq, a predicted model, not a curated record
GUUCACUUGAGCAUCACAUAUACUAAAAUCAGAAUGAUGCAGGGAAGAUUAGCAUGGUCCCUGUGCAAGGAUGCUGUGUAAAUUCAUGCAGUGUUCAGCAUUUGG